AGCUUCAUUCCCUAGGAGAAUGGGCACAGUUGCUCAUGGUGUCCAAAAUUGAUAAUGUGGUUAAACUGAGAUACAGAUUAUGCUUCCACCACAGAUAAAUUUACUGCAGUGGUAACAAUGAGACCUGUAACAUUU
RNAcentral lists this small nucleolar RNA (135 nucleotides) under Dasypus novemcinctus (nine-banded armadillo). RNAcentral describes it as "Small nucleolar RNA SNORA1 (ENSDNOG00000039525.1)". It matches the Rfam family "Small nucleolar RNA SNORA1". Rfam says of the family: ACA1 is a member of the H/ACA class of snoRNA that guide the sites of modification of uridines to pseudouridines. Lineage: Eukaryota; Metazoa; Chordata; Mammalia; Cingulata; Dasypodidae. The record is from RNAcentral.